CCCCUUCACUCACCUGUGAGUAAUUAAGGAAAACAGUGACAAGUCCAAACAUUAACAUUACAAAACAAACCAGAGUAUUAUCCACUCAUUACGCACAAAACAAGAAAUCAGGAGAAGACACGCUUGACACAAAAAAGUUUAAAAAUCAACACAGAUUGAUCCAUUUUCAAAGAAAUAACCUGCUUCUUCCUGAACAAAUAAAAUGGAAUCUAAGCCCCACCCCUUGUUCACCAAAAUGAUUUCUACAGGAUGAAACAGAGAGCUGUCAACAAGUUUGAAUGGGCUCAGCCACCUGUGGGCAGCGCCUGCCCUGGAUUUCGGUGUCAAGAGGUGUUUCCCUCAUCGACGAAGCGUUUUGAUCUGAGCAGGAAUGAGCUAAUAUUAACAGUGAGCUGAAAUGUCUGGACUUCAUCUGGUCUGCCACUCACAAUGAUGACAAAUGAAAGCAAACAGAGCGGGAAACUGAAAGUAGUGGAUCAGUGUUUUCUUUUUUCUGAGCAGCACAAAUAUUCCAAAGUUCUUCGUCACUCAGCACCACCUGAGUGCAAGUUCAGGCGUUAGAAGUUGGAACUGGUGCAAAUUCAUACACAUGUUGAUUUUCCACUAAAUGAAGUCAUACAUGACCCAAAGCAAAGGCGUGAUUAGCUGUGCUUGUGAAACAAAUUAGUAGUUUCUGCAAAAAAAAAAAAA
Molecule: long non-coding RNA, 690 nt
Organism: Oryzias latipes (Japanese medaka)
Lineage: Eukaryota; Metazoa; Chordata; Actinopteri; Beloniformes; Adrianichthyidae
Source: RefSeq, a predicted model, not a curated record